CCAGUCACCAGCCUAGUGGCUUAUCAGUGGGUCCCAGCACUCUGGAGCUUCUCCUGAGACAUGACCCAGGGCCAGGCUCGGGGCACCCCGAGCUCCCCACCAAUGCAGCCAAUGUGAGUCCCCAUGAGGCCUGUUCUUCCUGCUGGUCCUCUGGUCUCAGUCACAUCACACAGAUAAAGGUGAUGGCUUUAGGGACCAGACGGUUUUUUCUAGUCUUUCAACAAAUACUAAGCACCUACUGCAUUCUUUGCAAAGGGCUGGUAUAAGACAUAUGGAGACGGGUCAACCAUGGAUUCUGUCCUUGAACUUUCAGCAGACAUCAAUUGGCAACAGGAGGCCACACAAGGUUAAAUACCGAAUGGUAAAGAGAGUCUGUUGUGAGCUGCUAUCUGUUAGCAAAGGAAAGUGGGACUCAUGCUAGCCAUAAAGGAAAAAUACUAUUUUUGCAAAAGAGAGGAUGUACCAAGCAGGGCAGAGUGCCCACUGAAGGCACAGGGACAGGAAAAAGCAGAGCCAUUAGGAGAGAAUUUGAAGGCAGGGUGACAGCGGCACAGAGAGGCGGCUGAUCUCAUAAUCCAGCCAGAAGGAGAUGGGCUCAAGGAUGGGCAAGGAAGAGAAACAAAUGUCUUCCCAACACCCAUUAUGUGCCAAGCAUCAUGCUUAAAACGUCACAGCUAUUUCCUUAACCCAAGCCUCACAGCCACCCUUUGAGGACACAGACUGAGGUUACUAGCCCCAUUUCACAGCUGUGGAACUGAGGCUUCGUACAACUAAAACUAUUUUCAAGUAAGACUACCGGCUAUAGGACCUGACCUCCAGCCACCCAGAGAAGUAGGCAGCCUUUACUACAUAUGCUCCCAGUGUGUUCUCACGAUUGUUAUCGUUGUUGGGUAUUUUGGAUUUUGUUUGUGUAUGUGUUGUGUGUGGGCAGGGAGGCGAUCAGCCUUCCUCUGUUUCUUAUCUUGAAGCUGUUCUAUAAAAUGACGGAUGAGAGGCCCUCUCUGGGAGGCUGUAUACUGUUCCCGAUCUUCACCCCUUCCGAUUCCCAAGGUCACCGUGUGACUUCAGUUUGUCCCAGGAGAGGAGGAGCAUAAACUCCUGCCACAAGGGCAUCCAGCUUGGCCACGUCACUUGCCUUGGCCAGUGUGCUGUAGGCAAAAGGGACAGCGAGACUCAAUUCAGCCUUGGCCUCCAGAAGGGAGGCACUGUGUUCUCCAUUUCUCCAGUGCUGAGAGAGGAACCUGCCUAGGGGAGUCCACUAGUCCCGGAAAACAGAGCCAGGUGGAGCAGACCUGAGCCCCAAACGCACCUGUGAACCAAGGCCAGACAAAGUCAGCGACAUUCUGUAAUGCCCUCUGGCUGUGAAUCACUGAUCUAGCCCACAUCCUUCAUUUUUCAAUAAAUGCACCUGAGACCCAGAUCGGAGAAAUCAUCUGUUAGAGUCUUACCACCAGUUGGAAAUUGGGUCUCCUGAUUGCUAAUCCACUGCUCUUUCAAGAUAGCACCCUAUCUCAUCAGAGGGAGUCCCUGCAGGCUGCACGAAAAUAGAGGAAAUCUGAGAUGCCAACCAAGUAAGUAAUUAAGCAGAAUAGAUGCAGUCAAAAAGCAUGAAAGCAAGAUUUAACCCGGAUAAUCCCUCCAUAAUUUAGAGUUGAUCUGUCUAAAAGAGUUCCUGUUGAUUUCCCAGGAGGACCUUUCUUCUGGAGCUGGAACCACAGGGAUCAUCAUAGCUGAAUCUAUUAACCCCGUCGUUUUUCAAGGUGUCAGUCUUUUGUACCUAAGAAAUGUGGCCCAAUUCCUUUCGUUUUGGAAUUUGUGUUUUAUUACCAGCAUCUAUGGUACUCAAAAAUAACAUUUCUUCCCCAAAUGACUUAGCAUGUUCCUCUCUGCUUCACAGAUUAUGAGCCAGCCUGAACUGGAAGAUCAUUUACUAUAAAUAUUGCUGUCGUUCAAAGACUCUUAAAAUCAUGGCAUGUUAGGGCUGCAAGAGACCUUAAGAAAUCAUCCAUCCCGACCCCGUCACUUUACAGAUUCCUCGGAGAUAAAAGGCAAGUUGCUAAAUUCAACACACAAGGCUUCUCUGUCUGCCUCCUACCUGAUCACUCCAGCCUGAGCUCUUCUGCAUACAGCCCAUCUUCCCACUCUCCCACAGGGAGGGAGAAGGGAGAAGCAGCUCCCUAAACCUAAAGUUUUCCAGAAAUAUUAGAAGAACCACUGCACAGGGGAGUCUGGC
Molecule: long non-coding RNA, 2233 nt
Organism: Leopardus geoffroyi (Geoffroy's cat)
Lineage: Eukaryota; Metazoa; Chordata; Mammalia; Carnivora; Felidae
Exons: 3
Source: RefSeq, a predicted model, not a curated record